AUUGAGGAAAAGCCUUCCUCAACACAUCCUGGUCAACCUUACCUGAGCUUAGAAGCUAAGCAGGAUUAGACCUGGUUAGUACUGGAUGGGAGAGCACAAAAAGAUAUACCAGGCUGUUGGCAACA
Molecule: ribosomal RNA, 125 nt
Filed under: Notechis scutatus (mainland tiger snake)
Lineage: Eukaryota; Metazoa; Chordata; Lepidosauria; Squamata; Elapidae
Source: RNAcentral